ACUGUGUCGUAUGGCCAGCUUUGACGCUGCCGUUGGUUGUUGCUGCGUUUCGGUUCGGUUCGAUUCGUUUCAGUCCACUUUAAGCUUCCGGCGCAGGCGGUUGAGUUCGGUGCUCGGUUCGUCAGCUCUCGCUUCGUCGUUGCGCUCGAUUCACAGCUGAGUGGCGGCUCUGCUGUGCCGAUGUCUAUGUGUUUGUGCCUUAUUUUUUAUUGUUAGUAUUUUCUGUUUCGGUGUCUUUCCGUUGGCAUCCAGCAAAGACGCCCUCAACAUUUUUGAAUUUUUUUAAACGAAUUUCCAUAAUGAAAAAUGUUUGUGUACAUGCUUUUUUUUUGUUGUUGUUGUGAGUGAAUGAAAACUUUUUGCUGUGCGAAAAAGCAAACAGCACGAGGCUGAAGAAAAAUCACAGAAUGUUGUAGUCCAUUGGAAAAUAUUUUGUAAAACUAUGCGCGCGGCGGCGCGUUGCGAAUGCGAAAUGAAAUGUUCUAAAAAUAAAAUGCAAACAACAAACAAACAAAACUACAAAAGCAACAAAAAGCAAAUAAACCUGCGACUCGCAACGCGCACAGACCCCAAAAACUGAGGCGAAAAAAAAAACAACAAAAUUUAAAAUAAACCAAAAAAAACACGCGAAAACUGGGCAAUUCACACACAAAUACACACAUACACACUCGCAUAGAUCAUCAUCUUCAAACUCAACUGGGCUAUAAAUUUAGCAAAGGCAAACGGAGCAAAAUAUUUUUCUACAAAGGAAAAUUCGAAAACGUAUCAGAAAAGAGAAUAUAAUAAAAAGGAAUAUUUGAAUAAAACCGCCCACAAACGCACGCGGCGCGUUUUGUGCGCGUUUAAAACCGCGUCGACUGCGUGGAGCAGCAGAAGAAGAAGAAGCCGAAGCAAAAUUAAAAGAAAAUAUAAAACGAAAUUAGGGAAAUGAGCGCUUGACACCAUUCCUGAAGGCGUAACGCGGCAUGGGAAUUGAGGCGUGGCAGCGCCUAAGCGCCCAAAAACUUGGCCAACACACACCGGAAAGUCGAGCAAGUGUUGUUGUUGUUGUCGUUGUUAGUUAACCGUUUAUGGCUAUAAGCGCAUCCGGAUUAGCUUCUGUGACACUAUGCCAAAGGUAGCAAAGGUGGAAGCAAUGGGGCAGUGGCUUGAGCAGGGGAGAGGUGGGGAGGGGGGUAUUUAUAUGGAAAUCAGAAUAGCAACUGUAAUGGCAAACUAUGUCAGCCACAUUUGGCCAAGUUAGCAACCAAAAAAAAAAAA
Molecule: long non-coding RNA, 1260 nt
Organism: Drosophila navojoa
Lineage: Eukaryota; Metazoa; Arthropoda; Insecta; Diptera; Drosophilidae
Source: RefSeq, a predicted model, not a curated record